GACAGAGGUGCCGAGCGUUAGGCGGAAUCACUGGGCUUAAAGCGUGUGUAGGCGGCCACGUAAGUCGGAUGUGAAAGCCCCGGGCUCAACUCGGGAAGUGCACUCGAUACUGCGUGGCUUGAGUACUGGAGAGGUUGGUGGAAUUCUCGGUGUAGAGGUGAAAUUCGUAGAUAUCGAGAGGAACACCGGUGGCGAAGGCGGCCAACUGGACAGAUACUGACGCUGAGACACGAAAGCGUGGGGAGCAAACAGG
Molecule: ribosomal RNA, 253 nt
Filed under: uncultured bacterium
Lineage: Bacteria
Description: partial 16S ribosomal RNA
Rfam family: Bacterial small subunit ribosomal RNA
Source: RNAcentral